Molecule: long non-coding RNA, 253 nt
Filed under: Lathyrus oleraceus (garden pea)
Lineage: Eukaryota; Viridiplantae; Streptophyta; Magnoliopsida; Fabales; Fabaceae
Description: Pisum sativum (pea) long non-coding RNA (PSAT_LNC034458)
Source: RNAcentral
UAUGGUUGUGGUGGUGUAUAUGAGAAGAAGAAAAAUCUAUGUAAAAUCUUAGCCAAAAGUUGGCAGUGGAGAGAGAGAGAGAUAUGUGGUUGGUGUAGCAUUGUCAAAAGGCUUCACGUGGAUAUUUUUUAACAUCUCAAAUUAAAAGCCAAUGAAUAAUGGGAGAAGGUGCGUGGCACUAAUAUAUUGGCAAGAAGGAAGAUAUUUUAAUUUCUCAAUUUUAAAAAACUCAAAUUUUGAAUGAAAACAAAAA